GAUGAACGCUGGCGGCGUGCCUCAAACAUGCAAGUCGAGCGGGGCUAUGUAAUAUCGUAAGGUAGAACAUAGCCUAGCGGCGAACGGGUGAGUAACACGUGGGUAACCUGCCUGGAAGACAGGGAUAACGAUUCGAAAGGGUCGCUAAUACCUGAUAAUAUCCUUUCAUCGCAUGGUGAUAGGAAGAAAGGGGAAACCCGCUUUCAGAUGGGCCCGCGUCCCAUCAGCUAGUUGGUAAGGUAAAGGCUUACCAAGGCGACGACGGGUAGCCGGUCUGAGAGGAUGUACGGCCACACUGGGACUGAGAUACGGCCCAGACUCCUACGGGAGGCAGCAGUUGGGAAUCUUAGGCAAUGGACGAAAGUCUGACCUAGCGACGCCGCGUGAGGGAAGAAGGGCCUUCGGGUUGUAAACCUACUGUCAUGGGGAAGAAGUAAGUAGACGGUACCCCAACGAGGAAGCCCCUGCUAACUACGUGCCAGCAGCCGCGGUAAGAGUAGUACA
This 504-nucleotide ribosomal RNA is filed under the name uncultured bacterium. Its description in RNAcentral is "bacterial SSU rRNA". It matches the Rfam family "Bacterial small subunit ribosomal RNA", at positions 28 to 532 of the family's 1533-position model. The record is from RNAcentral.